CGGUUAUAAACCACGUGUGCUGCGCAUUAAUAUGAAAACAUCCUCGCAGUCGGGCGAUGCUUUCCGAUGUGUGGGACAGCACAGUGAAGCAGCUGCCUUUACACCAACACGAGCUCACAGAGUAAAGAGGUCACACUGCCAGCAUGCUUCACAAUGGUAAGCAAACUGGGCCAGUUCACACCUGCCACCAGUGAAGGUGAAGUAAGAGGAGGAGAGCACAAUUCAGAGGAGAGGUCUUGUCCACUGCACUGGUGUGGCUUCCAACAGACUGUAAGGUGAGAACAAGAGCAGAGCCUGGGGACGUGUGUACAUAGAGUGCGUACGCUUGGAUACUCACACUCGCACACACACCUUUCGAACUCUCUCCACGUGUCAGCAGAGGAUGGAAGAGGGUGAGGAUAAGAGCAGCCUGCAGCAAGCAUAAUCCUUGUCCUGCCACUGUUUAUGUCCUUUGCAAAAAGCCUGGCUGAUGGAUGAGGGUGAGAAAGGUGAACCAUCCCUCAACUUGGAUGAGAUGGAUUGCAACAGCUCACAGCAUUUCCCAUGUCACUACCACCUCCACUAUGGUUUUGAGUACUCCGUAUAACAGUGAUUGCACCGGUUAAAAAUGACCUCGAUGAAAAAAGGAGAAUUCAAUACAGCAUCCCUCUUCUGUUCCACCAAUCCCCGGAUAAUAACUCAAAAGCUCAAACUUGCCCGCAUAGACAACUGCAUUAAUUGCUUGCAGCCCUAUGUCUAAAGCUGGUCAAUAUGCGACAUGCGUGUUUUGUAGAAACUUACAGCAGUGUGCUAAAUCCGAUCUGGUUAACCUCGUGGCCUCUGCCUAAUUCCUUACAUAAUGAAAGAGGAUGAGUGGAAUCGGAGAUCUGGCAACUAAAACCUGCUUUGACAGCUGUGGAAUCAUCACUGUCACUGGGCCCGUUUUCACUCGGAAAGGCAGCCGUUUUUAAUGGAGAUGAUUGCAAUAAUUACAUCCUGACAUAUUCCAGCAAUUAAACAUCACCGGCAUGCAGCUGAUUACUAAUGAGGAAACUGACGGAGUGAGGUGGUCUUGCUCAUGCGGAAGACAAUAAUAUGCCGGACUAAAAAUGGAAAACAAAUACAGUAUAACCGAUAAGAUGUAAGAGGAUAGGGUAUUACCAAAUUCAAAAUGGGAAGACAACAAAUUUCCUACUUUAUUUUAUUUUGAGCUUUUCCCCACUUGUUUGUAGAAACCUAUACAGAAAUGUAAUGUAUGUCAAAUAUUGUGAUAUACUGUAUAUCAAGAAUGAUACUGUCAUAAUAUGUUACCUGGGAGGAGAUUUAUAAUUUUCACAUAUGUAUAUUACCUAUUAUCUGGGUAGAUGAAUAUAAAAGGUUGUAACAUAUAUAAAAUUCCCAUAGUAAAAUUGAUAUACAGUUGUGCUCAUAAGUUUACAUACACCUUG
Molecule: long non-coding RNA, 1427 nt
Organism: Cyprinus carpio (common carp)
Lineage: Eukaryota; Metazoa; Chordata; Actinopteri; Cypriniformes; Cyprinidae
Exons: 4
Source: RefSeq, a predicted model, not a curated record